GGCCCCAGAACAAGUGAUGCAAGACUGUCGUCAGCUCGUGUAGUGAGAUGAUAGGUUAAGCCCAGCAAAGAGCGCAACCCUCAACCUUAGUUGCCAGCAGUUAGUUGGGCACUAUAAGGGGACUGCCGGUGAUAAGCCGAGAGGAAGGUGGAGAAAACGUCAAGUCACCAUGGCCCUUACGGGAUGGGCUACACACGUGCUACAAUGGUGGUGACAGUGGGCAGCGAGACAGGGAUGUCGAGCUAAUCUCCAAAAGCCAUCUCAGUUCGGAUUGCACUCUGCAACUCGAGUGCAUGAAGUUGGAAUCGCUAGUAAUCGCAGAUCAGCAUGCUGCGGUGAAUACGUUCCCGGGCCUUGUACACACCGCCCGUCACACCAUGGGAGUUGGUUUUACCCGAAGGUAGUGCGCUAACCGCAAGGAGGCAGCUAACCACGGUAGGGUCAGCGACUUGGGAGGAGGCGUAACAAGGUA
This 472-nucleotide ribosomal RNA is filed under the name uncultured Rhizobium sp. RNAcentral's name for it is "bacterial SSU rRNA". It matches the Rfam family "Bacterial small subunit ribosomal RNA", at positions 1025 to 1498 of the family's 1533-position model. Lineage: Bacteria; Pseudomonadati; Pseudomonadota; Alphaproteobacteria; Hyphomicrobiales; Rhizobiaceae. The record is from RNAcentral.